CAGGACGAACGCUGGCGGCGUGCUUAACACAUGCAAGUCGAGCGGUAAGGCCCUUCGGGGUACACGAGCGGCGAACGGGUGAGUAACACGUGAGCAACCUGCCCCUGACUCCGGGAUAAGCGGUGGAAACGCCGUCUAAUACCGGAUACGACCCGCCACCUCAUGGUGGAGGGUGGAAAGUUUUUCGGUCAGGGAUGGGCUCGCGGCCUAUCAGCUUGUUGGUGGGGUAACGGCCUACCAAGGCGAUUACGGGUAGCCGGCCUGAGAGGGCGACCGGCCACACUGGGACUGAGACACGGCCCAGACUCCUGCGGGAGGCAGCAGUGGGGAAUAUUGCGCAAUGGGCGAAAGCCUGACGCAGCGACGCCGCGUGGGGGAUGACGGCCUUCGGGUUGUAAACCUCUUUUACCACCAACGCAGGCUCCAAGUUCUCUUCGGGUUGACGGUAGGUGGGGAAUAAGGACCGGCUAACUACGUGCCAGCAGCCGCGGUAAUACGUAGGGUCCGAGCGUUGUCCGGAAUUAUUGGGCGUAAAGAGCUCGUAGGCGGCGUGUCGCGUCUGCUGUGAAAGACCGGGGCUUAACUCCGGUUCUGCAGUGGAUACGGGCAUGCUAGAGGUAGGUAGGGGAGACUGGAAUUCCUGGUGUAGCGGUGAAAUGCGCAGAUAUCAGGAGGAACACCGGUGGCGAAGGCGGGUCUCUGGGCCUUACCUGACGCUGAGGAGCGAAAGCAUGGGGAGCGAACAGGAUUAGAUACCCUGGUAGUCCAUGCCGUAAACGUUGGGCGCUAGGUGUGGGGACUUUCCACGGUUUCCGCGCCGUAGCUAACGCAUUAAGCGCCCCGCCUGGNGAGUACGGCCGCAAGGCUAAAACUCAAAGGAAUUGACGGGGGCCCGCACAAGCGGCGGAGCAUGUUGC
Molecule: ribosomal RNA, 917 nt
Filed under: Nocardiopsis sp. Sp080513IM-06
Lineage: Bacteria; Bacillati; Actinomycetota; Actinomycetes; Streptosporangiales; Nocardiopsidaceae
Description: bacterial SSU rRNA
Rfam family: Bacterial small subunit ribosomal RNA
Source: RNAcentral